RNAcentral lists this ribosomal RNA (176 nucleotides) under Salmonella enterica subsp. enterica serovar Enteritidis. RNAcentral's name for it is "partial 16S ribosomal RNA". It matches the Rfam family "Bacterial small subunit ribosomal RNA", at positions 1 to 168 of the family's 1533-position model. The record is from RNAcentral. Lineage: Bacteria; Pseudomonadati; Pseudomonadota; Gammaproteobacteria; Enterobacterales; Enterobacteriaceae.
UUAAAUUGAAGAGUUUGAUCAUGGCUCAGAUUGAACGCUGGCGGCAGGCCUAACACAUGCAAGUCGAACGGUAACAGGAAGCAGCUUGCUGCUUUGCUGACGAGUGGCGGACGGGGGAGGAAUGUCUGGGAAACUGCCUGAGGGGGGGGGGAGAUGACUGGAAACGGGGGGUAAUA